UACGGAAGGCAGCAGUGGGGAAUAUUGCACAAUGGGCGCAAGCCUGAUGCAGCCAUGCCGCGUGUAUGAAAAAGGCCUUCGGGUUGUAAAGUACUUUCAGUCGUGAGGAAGGUGUUAAGGUUAAUAACCUUAGCAAUUGACGUUAGCGACAGAAGAAGCACCGGCUAACUCCGUGCCAGCAGCCGCGGUAAUACGGAGGGUGCGAGCGUUAAUCGGAAUUACUGGGCGUAAAGGGCACGCAGGCGGUUAAUUAAGUUGGAUGUGAAAUCCCCGGGCUUAACCUGGGAAUGGCAUUCAAGACUGGUUAGCUAGAGUCUUGUAGAGGGGGUAGAAUUCCAUGUGUAGCGGUGAAAUGCGUAGAGAUGUGGAGGAAUACCGGUGGCGAAGGCGGCCCUGGACAAAGACUGACGCUCAUGUGCGAAAGCGUGGGGAGCGAAACAGGGAUUAGAUACC
This 453-nucleotide ribosomal RNA is filed under the name uncultured bacterium. RNAcentral's name for it is "bacterial SSU rRNA". It matches the Rfam family "Bacterial small subunit ribosomal RNA", at positions 340 to 786 of the family's 1533-position model. The record is from RNAcentral.